This 240-nucleotide unclassified non-coding RNA is filed under the name soil metagenome. Its description in RNAcentral is "partial contains 5.8S ribosomal RNA, internal transcribed spacer 2, and large subunit ribosomal RNA". The record is from RNAcentral.
AACGGUCUAUACCUGCGGUACCUGCUGAAGGAUCAUUACCGAGUUAUCAACUCCCAAACCCCUGUGAACAUACCCGAACGUUGCCUCGGCGGGACCGCCCCGGCGCCCCUAGCGGCCCGGAACCAGGCGCCCGCCGGAGGACCCAAACUCUUGCUUUAAACAGUGGCAUACUCUCUGAGUCUCACAAACAAAAAAUAAAUCAAAACUUUCAGCAAUGGAUCUCUAGAUCGGAAGAGCACA